Non-coding RNA from Gymnopilus junonius, 75 nucleotides. Lineage: Eukaryota; Fungi; Basidiomycota; Agaricomycetes; Agaricales; Galerinaceae. The record is from the annotation of a GenBank genome assembly.
GGAGCUAUAGCUCAAUGGUCGUAGAGCAUCCGCAAAGAAUGCAGGAGGACCUGGGUUCGAUUCCCAGUGGCUUCA